GACGAACGCUGGCGGCGUGCUUAACACAUGCAAGUCGAACGGAAAGGCCCUGCUUUUGUGGGGUGCUCGAGUGGCGAACGGGUGAGUAACACGUGAGUAACCUGCCCUUGACUUUGGGAUAACUUCAGGAAACUGGGGCUAAUACCGGAUAGGAGCUCCUGCUGCAUGGUGGGGGUUGGAAAGUUUCGGCGGUUGGGGAUGGACUCGCGGCUUAUCAGCUUGUUGGUGGGGUAGUGGCUUACCAAGGCUUUGACGGGUAGCCGGCCUGAGAGGGUGACCGGCCACAUGGGGACUGAGAUACGGCCCAGAGUCCUACGGGAGGCAGCAGGGGGGAAUAUUGCACAAUGGGCGGAAGCCUGAUGCAGCAACGCCGCGUGCGGGAUGACGGCCUUCGGGUUGUAAACCGCUUUCGCCUGUGACGAAGCGUGAGUGACGGUAAUGGGUAAAGAAGCACCGGCUAACUACGUG
This 468-nucleotide ribosomal RNA is filed under the name uncultured bacterium. RNAcentral describes it as "partial 16S ribosomal RNA". It matches the Rfam family "Bacterial small subunit ribosomal RNA", at positions 28 to 507 of the family's 1533-position model. The record is from RNAcentral.